This 118-nucleotide microRNA precursor is filed under the name Myotis lucifugus (little brown bat). RNAcentral's name for it is "miRNA (ENSMLUG00000017843.2)". The record is from RNAcentral. Lineage: Eukaryota; Metazoa; Chordata; Mammalia; Chiroptera; Vespertilionidae.
UCCGCCGAGGCAGGGCUUGAUACUCAAAAAGAAAUUGUCCUUGUAUGAUUCAUCACAAAAGACGCGAGCACACCAAGGAUAAUUUCUCCUCAAGUAUGAAACAGGAGCACGGACAGGA